This 464-nucleotide ribosomal RNA is filed under the name uncultured bacterium. RNAcentral describes it as "bacterial SSU rRNA". It matches the Rfam family "Bacterial small subunit ribosomal RNA", at positions 338 to 795 of the family's 1533-position model. The record is from RNAcentral.
CCUACGGGAGGCAGCAGUCGAGAAUUUUUCUCAAUGGGGGAAACCCUGAAGGAGCGACGCCGCGUGGAGGAUGAAGGUCUUCGGAUUGUAAACUCCUGUCAUGAGGGAGCAAGACACUGUGUUAACUGCAAGGGUGUUUGAUAGUACCUCAAGAGGAAGAGACGGCUAACUCUGUGCCAGCAGCCGCGGUAAUACAGAGGUCUCGAGCGUUGUUCGGAUUCAUUGGGCGUAAAGGGUGCGUAGGCGGCUAGGUAAGUCAGAUGUGAAAUUCCGGGGCUCAACCGCGGAACUGCAUUUGAUACUGCUUGGCUAGAGUACUGGAGAGGAGACUGGAAUUUACGGUGUAGCAGUGAAAUGCGUAGAUAUCGUAAGGAAGGCCAGUGGCGAAAGCGAGUCUCUGGACAGUAACUGACGCUGAUGCACGAAGGCUAGGGGAGCAAACGGGAUUAGAUACCCUUGUAGUC